This 69-nucleotide transfer RNA is filed under the name Allobates magnussoni. RNAcentral describes it as "tRNA-Asp". Lineage: Eukaryota; Metazoa; Chordata; Amphibia; Anura; Aromobatidae. The record is from RNAcentral.
GAGAAAUUAGUUAAUUAAUAACACCACCUUGUCAAGAUGAAGUAAUGAGUUAGGUCCUCGUAUUUCUCU